GAGGAUGACAGCUGACGGCCCGACCCCGACCAAUAAGAGCAAACGUACCUUGUUGAAAUUAAUGUAGUCUCUUUUCUACAGGAAGAGCUAAAGUUCUUAUGGAAAUCCAUUGUUGCCACAUCUUCAAAUAUGAGAAGAGACGUCUAUCAAUUGUCAUUGUCUGAUGAUCUUUGUUAUGUUUGGUUAUGUUGUUGUUGUCGUUGACAUUCUAACUUUUGAUAGGAUAAUAAGGAUAUUUUAAACACAUUUUAAAAGAAAAAGAACCUUAGUAGUCAGUAGAAAGAAAAGUAAUUUUAGAUUCCAACCGUAUUAUUACUUCUGAAAUAUGAUCAUCUAGUGGGAAAACCGCAGUGAUUGUGCCUUCAAAUGGGCAAUUUGAAACGACAACCCCAACAAAAACCAUUAUAUGUAAUUGUAAAUUGAAAUGAUUGAUAAUAAAAAUGUUUGUACAUAUGUAAUUGUACAUGUAAAGCUGGAAAUUCAGGCAUACCAUUGAAAAUUUGAAAAAAUUAAGCACCACACACAUCAAACAACAGUGGGGAUAAUUAAAAAAACAAUAAUACAACAUAGUCAACAAUAAAGUCCUACCAGUCUGCUGAUAAAUGGGCUAGUGAUAUUGUACUAAAUUAUGAUUUAGCUCUAUUUUACUCAAAUAAUGUUGAAGUAAGCUACAGUAACUCUGUUGAAAUGUCUUUAGCUAUGCUAAACCGAACUGUAGAAGCAUGGAAAAAGCUGACGUGACUGCAAGUAACUGGGACAAUUUAUUGCCAUUUAUUUACUUAUGAUAAAAAUAAAAGCCCAAGUUGGCCACUUAAAGUCGACCAAUUGUAUAGUUCCAAUUUUAAAGAAAAUACUGUACCCUUCUGUGGGAAACAAUUAUGAAUCAGUUGCUUUAAAUAUGUAUGAAAAAAUAACUCUAAGUAUGACUGGCAGUGUCAAUGGAAUUGUUUCCGGAAAAUGUCUAGAAAUAAACUGUCCUCUGGCAGGUAAAACAAAAUCUGUGCAAUCAAUUUUACGUGACCUUAAAUAUUUUGCAUAAUUGAGGGAAAACAAUAUUAUGUUAAAGAAAAAUCAUAUGUAUUUAUGGACAAGUGCAAUUGCUACUUACAGGACUACAAAUAUGUUAUUUUGUAGUGUUUUGUCCAUUUGAUAAGUCCACACUUCUUAUUAAAGUACCAUUUAAUGAUGAAUUUAUACAAGAAAUGUUAAAAAUUUUGGUAGAGGUAUAUUUUUACAAUGUAUUAUCAGUUUUAUUCCAAUUAUAUAAGUAAAAAACUUGUUUUAAAA
Molecule: long non-coding RNA, 1287 nt
Filed under: Diabrotica virgifera virgifera (western corn rootworm)
Lineage: Eukaryota; Metazoa; Arthropoda; Insecta; Coleoptera; Chrysomelidae
Description: uncharacterized LOC114333221
Source: RNAcentral